UCGUAACAAGGUUUCCGUAGGUGAACCUGCGGAAGGAUCAUUACAGUAUUCUAUCCAAGCUGAAAUGUGUCAUUGAGUCAUGCUGUCUUUGUAUGCGCUGCUGAAAUAUUGCGUGCGCGACAGGGCGUUUGGCUUGGGGCCAUUUUACUCCAAAGGCUUGGAAAACCUCUUCACACUUUGUUUUUUUAUUAGAGACAAAUUUGCUUUGGCUGGUUGUGGUGUAAAAGCUGCUGUGCCAGCCAAAGAUUUACAAAACUCAUUUUGUUGGUAUUCCCUCGGGAUUACUUAACGUGAUUUAUGAAACAGUCAUUGAACUUUAAAAGAGAUAGCUUUGCUUCUUCUAUGAAGUGCUGGUAUCUUUUUACAAAAAUUCAAAACUUUCAACAACGGAUCUCUUGGUUCUCGCAUCGAUGAAGAACGCAGCGAAAUGCGAUAAGUAAUGUGAAUUGCAGAUUUUCGUGAAUCAUUGAAUCUUUGAACGCACAUUGCGCCCUCUGGUAUUCCGGAGGGCAUGCCUGUUUGAGCGUCAUUUCCUUCUCAAACCCCCAAGGUUUGGUGAUGAGCGCUUACUCCUUUCUGAGGAGUUCGCUUGAAAUGCAUUGGCAUGAGCUCAUGUGAUAAGCAGUAAUUGUUUUAUUUCCAAUGUAUUAGGUUUUAAUCCAUCGUUGGGCGACAGUUGCUGGUUGUUUCGUGGUUUUGGCUUUGCCUAACAAACUUUAACCCUAAAGUUUGACCUCAAAUCAGGUAGGAUUACCCGCUGAACUUAAGCAUAUCA
Molecule: unclassified non-coding RNA, 775 nt
Filed under: Ogataea maris
Lineage: Eukaryota; Fungi; Ascomycota; Pichiomycetes; Pichiales; Pichiaceae
Description: [Candida] maris sequence contains 18S rRNA gene, ITS1, 5.8S rRNA gene, ITS2, 28S rRNA gene
Rfam family: 5.8S ribosomal RNA (bases 376-529)
Source: RNAcentral